GCUUAUGCGUUGCUGGGUAGGGGAGCGUUCUGUAAGCCUGCGAAGGUGGCCUGUGAGGGUUGCUGGAGGUAUCAGAAGUGCGAAUGCUGACAUAAGUAACGAUAAAGCGGGUGAAAAGCCCGCUCGCCGGAAGACCAAGGGUUCCUGUCCAACGUUAAUCGGGGCAGGGUGAGUCGACCCCUAAGGCGAGGCCGAAAGGCGUAGUCGAUGGGAAACGGGUUAAUAUUCCCGUACUUGGUGUUACUGCGAAGGGGGGACGGAGAAGGCUAUGUUGGCCGGGCGACGGUUGUCCCGGUUUAAGCGUGUAGGUGUGUGUUCCAGGUAAAUCCGGUUCACUUUAACACUGAGGCGUGACGACGAGGCACUACGGUGCUGAAGCAACAAAUGCCCUGCUUCCAGGAAAAGCCUCUAAGCAUCAGGUAACAUCAAAUCGUACCCCAAACCGACACAGGUGGUCAGGUAGAGAAUACCAAGGCGCUUGAGAGAACUCGGGUGAAGGAACUAGGCAAAAUGGUGCCGUAACUUCGGGAGAAGGCACGCUGACACGUAGGUGAAGUGAUUUACUCACGGAGCUGAAGUCAGUCGAAGAUACCAGCUGGCUGCAACUGUUUAUUAAAAACACAGCACUGUGCAAACACGAAAGUGGACGUAUACGGUGUGACGCCUGCCCGGUGCCGGAAGGUUAAUUGAUGGGGUCAGCGCAAGCGAAGCUCCUGAUCGAAGCCCCGGUAAACGGCGGCCGUAACUAUAACGGUCCUAAGGUAGCGAAAUUCCUUGUCGGGUAAGUUCCGACCUGCACGAAUGGCGUAAUGAUGGCCAGGCUGUCUCCACCCGAGACUCAGUGAAAUUGAACUCGCUGUGAAGAUGCAGUGUACCCGCGGCAAGACGGAAAGACCCCGUGAACCUUUACUAUAGCUUGACACUGAACACUGGUCCUUGAUGUGUAGGAUAGGUGGGAGGCUUUGAAGUGUGGACGCCAGUCUGCAUGGAGCCAUCCUUGAAAUACCACCCUUUAAUGGCUGGUGUUCUAACGUAGACCCGUAAUCCGGGUUGCGGACAGUGUCUGGUGGGUAGUUUGACUGGGGCGGUCUCCUCCUAAAGAGUAACGGAGGAGCACGAAGGUUGGCUAAUCCUGGUCGGACAUCAGGAGGUUAGUGCAAUGGCAUAAGCCAGCUUGACUGCGAGCGUGACGGCGCGAGCAGGUGCGAAAGCAGGUCAUAGUGAUCCGGUGGUUCUGAAUGGAAGGGCCAUCGCUCAACGGAUAAAAGGUACUCCGGGGAUAACAGGCUGAUACCGCCCAAGAGUUCAUAUCGACGGCGGUGUUUGGCACCUCGAUGUCGGCUCAUCACAUCCUGGGGCUGAAGUAGGUCCCAAGGGUAUGGCUGUUCGCCAUUUAAAGUGGUACGCGAGCUGGGUUUAGAACGUCGUGAGACAGUUCGGUCCCUAUCUGCCGUGGGCGCUGGAGAACUGAGGGGGGCUGCUCCUAGUACGAGAGGACCGGAGUGGACGCAUCACUGGUGUUCGGGUUGUCAUGCCAAUGGCACUGCCCGGUAGCUAAAUGCGGAAGAGAUAAGUGCUGAAAGCAUCUAAGCACGAAACUUGCCCCGAGAUGAGUUCUCCCUGAGACUUAGAGUCUCCUGAAGGAACGUUGAAGACGACGACGUUGAUAGGCCGGGUGUGUAAGCGCAGCGAUGCGUUGAGCUAACCGGUACUAAUGAACCGUGAGGCUUAACC
RNAcentral lists this ribosomal RNA (1734 nucleotides) under Salmonella enterica subsp. enterica serovar Mississippi. RNAcentral's name for it is "partial 23S ribosomal RNA". It matches the Rfam family "Bacterial large subunit ribosomal RNA", at positions 1213 to 2925 of the family's 2925-position model. The record is from RNAcentral. Lineage: Bacteria; Pseudomonadati; Pseudomonadota; Gammaproteobacteria; Enterobacterales; Enterobacteriaceae.